GCCCUGAUGGUCUAGCGGUAUGAUUCUCCCUUAGGGAUUUGGCUUGAUCGUAAUCCACAUUUGGGAGAGGUCCCAGGUUCGAUCCCUGGUUAGGGCC
Non-coding RNA from Colletotrichum sp. SAR 10_99, 97 nucleotides. The record is from the annotation of a GenBank genome assembly. NCBI's taxonomy places the organism in Eukaryota, Fungi, Ascomycota, Sordariomycetes, Glomerellales, Glomerellaceae.